RNAcentral lists this ribosomal RNA (253 nucleotides) under uncultured bacterium. Its description in RNAcentral is "partial 16S ribosomal RNA". It matches the Rfam family "Bacterial small subunit ribosomal RNA", at positions 524 to 776 of the family's 1533-position model. The record is from RNAcentral.
UACGGAGGAUCCAAGCGUUAUCCGGAUUUAUUGGGUUUAAAGGGAGCGUAGGCGGCCUAUUAAGUCAGGGGUGAAAGACGGCAGCUUAACUGUCGCAGUGCCUUUGAUACUGAUAGGCUUGAAUGUAGUUGAGGUGGGCGGAAUGUGACAAGUAGCGGUGAAAUGCAUAGAUAUGUCACAGAACACCGAUUGCGAAGGCAGCUCACUAUGGUCAAAUUGACGCUGAGGCACGAAAGCGUGGGGAUCAAACAGG